This 460-nucleotide ribosomal RNA is filed under the name uncultured bacterium. RNAcentral's name for it is "partial 16S ribosomal RNA". It matches the Rfam family "Bacterial small subunit ribosomal RNA", at positions 338 to 795 of the family's 1533-position model. The record is from RNAcentral.
CCUACGGGUGGCAGCAGUGAGGAAUAUUGGUCAAUGGACGAGAGCCUGAACCAGCCAAGUAGCGUGAAGGAUGACUGCCCUAUGGGUUGUAAACUUCUUUUAUAUGGGAAUAAAAUGUUCCACGUGUGGCCUUUUGUAUGUACCUUAUGAAUAAGGAUCGGCUAACUCCGUGCCAGCAGCCGCGGUAAUACGGAGGAUCCGAGCGUUAUCCGGAUUUAUUGGGUUUAAAGGGAGCGUAGGUGGGUUGUUAAGUCAGUUGUGAAAGUUUGGGGCUCAACCGUAAAAUUGCAGUUGAUACUGGCAGGCUUGAGUACAGUAGAGGUGGGCGGAAUUCGUGGUGUAGCGGUGAAAUGCUUAGAGAUCACGAAGAACUCCGAUUGCGAAGGCAGCCCACUGGACUGCGACUGACACUGAGGCGCGAAAGUGUGGGUAUCAAACAGGAUUAGAUACCCGAGUAGUC